UUUUCGGGUUCCCGGUGCUUCUCUUAUCUUACCGCGUGAUGGCGGGUCCAUUGAUCAAGCCACUCAAGAUGAAGUAAGCCAUUGGUCACCUUGAAGAUCUGCAGAAAGCAGAUGGAGCAGUUCCUGCUACUCAGAGAAUGUGGAUGAGAUAGCCCAUAGGAAGGCGUGUUGGCUCAUGCUGCAGUAUGGUGAUAUGAAAAGUCCCGCUCUUCAGUAAUAUUGGCUUCCUGCGUGAAAGAGAAAGGAAGACAGAACGCAUGUGGAAAGUGCUUAACCUAAAGCCAGUUCUACAGCGGAAAGACUAUCCCCACUCUCAUACUACAGUGUAAAUUGGAGCCCGAGAAGCCAUGAUACAAGAAGCAGAGUGAGUGAGGCCUGCAGUCCCAUGUGUGAGAUCACAUGUGCAGCCUGAAGCCUGGACCACAAACCAUGAAGCAGUUGUGUUCAGGUGAGGCAUCGAAUUGAUCUGAAGUCUAGACUCAGACAGAAAGACUGCAAAGUUAUACAGUGAUUUUCACCCUUUUCUAUUGCCUGCAUUCAUUGUUCUGAGUUUGGAAUCUUAAGCAUUGUUCUCAGAUUCUAACAUUCAGUGCUAGAACCCUAAAUAGUCUAAGAAGUUAUUACAACAAUACAAUCACCAGACUGUUAUAUCAGGCAAGUUCAACUGCAUGAAUUUAAAUGUGUGAUUUGUAUAUGUUCUUUAAACUACAUUUAAAGGCAACAUUGAAUGGACUCAGUGGGUAUUAAAUAAUAAAAAAAAGAA
This is a long non-coding RNA of Onychomys torridus (southern grasshopper mouse), 763 nucleotides long. RefSeq lists it as uncharacterized. Lineage: Eukaryota; Metazoa; Chordata; Mammalia; Rodentia; Cricetidae. The transcript has 4 exons. The record is from RefSeq and is a predicted model, not a curated record.